AAUAAGCGGAGGAAAAGAAACUAACAAGGAUUCCCCUAGUAACUGCGAGUGAAGCGGGAAAAGCUCAAAUUUAAAAUCUGGCAGCCUUUGGCCGUCCGAGUUGUAAUUUAGAGAAGCGUCUUCCGCGCUGGACCGUGCACAAGUCUCCUGGAAUGGAGCGUCGUAGAGGGUGAGAAUCCCGUCUUUGGCACGGACACACCAGGGCUUUUGUGAUGCGCUCUCGAAGAGUCGAGUUGUUUGGGAAUGCAGCUCAAAAUGGGUGGUGAACUCCAUCUAAAGCUAAAUAUUGGCGAGAGACCGAUAGCGAACAAGUACCGUGAGGGAAAGAUGAAAAGCACUUUGGAAAGAGAGUGAAACAGUACGUGAAAUUGUUGAAAGGGAAACGCUUGAAGUCAGUCGCGUCUGCCGAGACUCAGCCUUGCCUCGGCUUGGUGUACUUCUCGGCCGACGGGUCAGCAUCAAUUUUGCCCCUUGGAUAAUGGUGAGGGAAAUGUGACACCUUUACGGGUGUGUUAUAGUCUCUCGUCGCAUGCAAGGGUCGGGAUUGAGGCACUCAGCACGCGCCUUUGGGCGUCGGGGUUCGCCCCGAUACGUGCUUAGGAUGUUGGCGUA
This 612-nucleotide ribosomal RNA is filed under the name Russula cavipes. RNAcentral describes it as "LSU rRNA". It matches the Rfam family "Eukaryotic large subunit ribosomal RNA", at positions 45 to 633 of the family's 3401-position model. The record is from RNAcentral. Lineage: Eukaryota; Fungi; Basidiomycota; Agaricomycetes; Russulales; Russulaceae.